Molecule: ribosomal RNA, 549 nt
Filed under: uncultured bacterium
Lineage: Bacteria
Description: bacterial SSU rRNA
Rfam family: Bacterial small subunit ribosomal RNA
Source: RNAcentral
AAUAGAUACCCGGGUAGUCCACGCCGUAAACGAUGGAUACUAGCUGUUCGGUCGCAAGAUUGGGUGGCUAAGCGAAAGUGAUAAGUAUCCCACCUGGGGAGUACGAACGCAAGUUUGAAACUCAAAGGAAUUGACGGGGGCCCGCACAAGCGGUGGAGCAUGUGGUUUAAUUCGAUGAUACGCGAGGAACCUUACCAAGGCUUAAAUGUAGAUUGACACGACUGGAAACAGUUUUUUCGUUCGGACAAUUUACAAGGUGCUGCAUGGUUGUCGUCAGCUCGUGCCGUGAGGUGUCAGGUUAAGUCCUAUAACGAGCGCAACCCCCUGUUGUUAGUUGCCCAGCGAGUUAGUGUCGGGAACUCUAACAAGACUGCCAGGUGUAAACUGUGAGGAAGGUGGGGAUGACGUCAAAUCAUCACGGCCCUUACGCCUUGGGCUACACACGUGCUACAAUGGCCGGUACAGAGAGCAACCGACUGCGCGAGCAGGAGCGAAUCUAUAAAAACCCGGGUCACAGUUCCGGAUCGGAGUCUGCAACUCGACUCCGGU